UAUGUACUCCCAUCGUCCCGAAUUACUUGUCGCAGAUAUGGAUGUAUCUAGAUAUAUUUUAGUUAUAGAUUCGUCCAUUUCUAUCCAUUUUUGCGACGAGUAAUUUGGGACAGAGGGAGUACAAG
Triticum aestivum (bread wheat) is the source of this 125-nucleotide non-coding RNA. The record is from Rfam. Lineage: Eukaryota; Viridiplantae; Streptophyta; Magnoliopsida; Poales; Poaceae.